GAACUGAACUUUGUGGUCUGGAGGUUUCGGUGUGCUUUGCUCCGCCUGCGAAAUGUCUGGGGAGACCAAUCUCUUCAACAGGGGCACGGCCGGAGAACUAUUGCUAUAACACUGUAAGAGAAACAGCAAGGGAUUUAGCUCAGCUGCACAAGUGCCUUCCUGAGAAGCAUGAGGUUGUAAGUUCGAUCCCUCGUACCAAAAAAAAAAGGAAUGUAAGAGAGAAUUUGUAAUUUCAGAACCAAGAAAGACUGUGACUACAGGACUACAAGGCAUUGUGGGGUUACCUGGCCACGUUUCCUGUUAUUCACAGAGUUAAAUAUUAUCUGUCACACAGGUCACACAUAACUUUGCAUGUGCUUAUGGUUUUCCUCAUAAUUAUACUAAAAGCAGCAUGUAGACAGUCACACAAUUAACAUGGCCUUAGAGAAGUGACUGAUCCAAUCUUUGAAUUCUUCAUGAUUUGAGCACAGUGCUGCACAGCAAAAUCAUGGUGUUCAAGAACAACAGGAACACUUGAAAGGUAAUAAUAUGGUAGGCACAGUCUAUGGUUUACAUAUAUGUUCCCACUUCAUUUUUAUUAUGGCCCUUUACAUAGGAACAAUUAUUUCCUUCAUUAUUAAGAGAGGAAUUCUUGUGUAAUGGUUGGGAACAUGGGCUCCGAAAUCACACUGUCUGACUUCGUGGUAGGGCUUUGCUCCUUCCUCGCUGUAAGACUUGUGAUGAGUUAUUUUAUUUUCCUGCGUGUUGGUUUCCUCUGCUGUAGUCUGGGUAAUAGUAAUACUUACACUGAGGAGUCAAUGAAUUAAAUACAUGGAAAGUGCUUGCUGCAGGGCCUGCAACAUAGUAAACCCCAUAUGACUGAAACCAUUACUUUUCGAAAUGAGUAAUUUAUAGCUCAGAGAGCCAGAAUCUUGUGCCAUGUCACACGAGGUGAUAGGUCUAGUCAGUUCUCUUAAUUGCUGGUUUGUACUAAUCCAAGUUAUCACACACACACACACACACACACACACACACACACACAAAGUACUUGACUUGGAAUCAGGUCUCAGGCACUUGGCUCAGGCCUGACUCUGAAACUACCUUGUGGUAUCAUUUUGAAUGAGCCACAGUAUUCCAGAGAGAACCCUCUCCCCACUUCCCAGGAGGCAGUACCUUUAUUUACAGAGAGGAGCUGGACUAAAUGACCCCCAACUUCCCACCCAUUUCUAUCUUCUGUGGUUCCAGGAAGAGCUUCCAGAUUCUGUGUAUUGUACGGGCAGUGAAUGACCAUGCAAUCACAUUAUCUCCAUCUUUGAAAAAUACAAUCAGAUUGCCUCAGACUGUUGCUCAGUAUUAGCAACUUCAAUUCCUACCCAAAGCUAACCCCAUACUCCUUCCUAUGACCUGCUCUGCUUCACCUGGCUCUUGUUCAGCUCUUCAGUGUUAUUCUGUAUUAUCCUUCCUCUCGUAUUCCCCCUUUAUUGCUCUAACACUGAGGUGUCCAACACCAAGCUAACUACAGAGAGCCUGAAAACAUGGGUAGUCCUAUUUGGGAUCCUGUAUCAUAUGCACACAGAAUCUCACAGCCUUGGUUAAAAAAAAAUGUAAAUGUCUCUUAAAAAAAUUUUUUAAGGGCUGGGUUGUAACUCCAUGGAGAGCACCUUCCUACCUUCCUAGCAUGUGUGGUGCCCCGUGUUUAAUCCCCAGCAGCAAACACACAGACACACACACCCAUGUACACGCACACAGAAACUGCUUAUGUGUCGAAAUUAUAUUGGUUAUGUUAGGUUAAAUAUAUUACCAAUUUCCUUUCAAAAAUGCUCCCAUGGAAAAGUUUCUAUCACAUACGUGGCCUGUCUUACUGUGCAGUUAGAUCCCACAGCUCAGUACCUGGGGCUGGCAAAUGGAGCACACUGUGGGGUCCAGCCUGCUGCCUGUUUUCACAGCCUGUGAGCAAACAAUGGUUUUCACACUGAAAGUUAUUUUUUAAAUAUCAAAAGGAUAACUGUGAUACGUGGUAAAGAAAUUCAAAUUUUAUUGUACAUAAAUAGAAUUUUAUUGGAAGAGAGAGCUUAUAACAAUUGCUUCUCCCAUUAGAGAAGCUCUGCAAAGGCACAAACUUUUUUGUCACUGCUGUUCAGCAAAUUAUUACUAACACCUAGGACAGUACUGGGCACAUACUAGGUACUCUGUAAAUAUUUAUAGUCUUUAAAUUUUUUAUAGCUAGAUACUGGGGUAGUAUAGGAAUCACCUUGUUAUUUAAAGGACAUGAAUUACCACUAAUAAAAAUUACUGUGUGCUUUUCUGAGCCAGAAAGGCUAAGAUUAGUUCAGGCUCAGAGCAAGCUCCUACCUUGAGACACAGGAAUGGCAAUGCAGUUCCUGCUAAACUUGGAGACACAGGUGCUGCAGCAUGACAAGAGGGACAUAAGAUUUAUAAACAAAAUACCUCACUUUAUUUUAAUAAAUUCAGUGAUUUUGGUCCCUCUUAGAAAGGCGAGGUAAAACUGUCCCAGUUAUCAAAAAAUUCAAAUCUCCUUUUCGUUGGUGGACUGGCUGACAAAUUAUUUUCAUCUAAGGUGUCUCCCAGAUCACAGGCUCCACCUCCUGAGGUUCCGGAAGCACUUCCUGGGUCAAAGGACUCCAAGGCCUCUAGAAGCUCCAUGUCAGUUCCAUCUUCCUCAAAGGACUUCUGGAGCAGGUCAUAGAUUGUCUGCUGCUUUGGGUCCUUCAUCAGAGAAAGAAAAUAAAAGACAAGGGUGAACCCAAACUCCAGUGCGGCACCUCCUCCACGGUGGCUGGUGAGAGAGUUCUAAGGUGAGAGACAGCACAUUUUAAGCUGUCAGGGAGCGAUAUGAUGACAGGGACAGACCGUCUCAGUAACUACUACUAAAACAGCUUCCUGCUGUAGCUUUAGUGUGCGAAAUCUUGUCUGCUGGGUUAGAAAUGAAAACAAAGGCUGAGGAUAUAAUAGUGGCAACCUGGCACUACCUGGCAAACAUGAGGUCCUAAGUUUGAUUCCCAGUACAAGAAAGGAAAGGAAGGGAAGGGAAAAAGGAAAAGGGAAAGGGCGAAGGGCAAAGGGGAAGGGGCAAAAAUCAUCAUUCUGCUGAUCUCUCCUAAGUAUAAAUUCCCAAUUCUCCUAAAAAAGCUAAAGUUACCAUAUUACAGUAAUACAUGCAUACCCAGCUUUAUAGCAGCACAAAUCACUAUGGCAAAAUCACGGAGGCAGCCUACAUGUCUAUCAGCAGAUGAAUGGAUAAACAAAAUGUGGUAUAUAAACACAAUAGAGUGCCACUCAGCCACAACAAAGGAUACAUUUGACGGAUUUGUAGGAAAAUACAUGGACUUGAGACCAUAAUACCAAGUGAAGUAAGUCACAGAAGGUUAACAAUUACAUGUUUUUUUAAUGUGAGAGACAUAACAUAAAGAGCCAAAUAAAAGAGACGUAUUUAGAAAUGGAAAGAUAGACUCCAUAGAGAUAGGAAAGGGAUCUUCCUAGGACAGAAAGGGGAAAGCGGGACAGGGGUGGUUGUGUGUGUAAAAGUAAUCAAGAUGCAAUGUGCGUAUCUAUCAGUCCCCCAACCGGAAUGUAACUACUGUGUAUAUUGCAAACAUAUACUAACAAAAAGUUCUGAAAAGCACAUUCCCAACCUUGACCACUUUUAUUCCACAGGUAUGCCUGUAACACCUCCACUGACAUCCACAGCUCCAUAAAACUGAGCUACCUGAAAUCAAAAUGACCACUUCAUCCCCUACCAUCGCCCCAGACCAGUUCCUUCCUGGAAAUCUCCCACCAGCCUCACAGACUCCUAGCCUGAAAUCACAGUGUGUCGUGAAUCCUUAGCUGAUCCAAAUGUGUCCCCACUGUUCUCGUCCAUCACACAGCACACGUUAGGCAAGUGCUCUGCCACUGAGCUACAUGCCCAAACCUCCUGCCACCCUUGUCAUGGGCCGGAUCACUUGGUGCCACAGGAACUGCAGCAGCUCAGCUGCUCUCCAGCCUCAGGCUUCUCCCACUGCUGUGGGCCCCCGUCACAUCCUGCCUGAUUUUCCCUCAGGCUGCCCUUUGACACAAUUUCCCUUGUCAUGCCACAAAUGGACUCCCUGGUGUCUACUUCUAAAAUUGCUUUUCUGGCUUUGCUGGGCUUCUGCAAUUAGAUCUCAAUCUAAAUGGCCACUAUUUGUCACUGUUUCGGAACAGAAUCUCCAACAUUGGUGAAGUUCCUGGAAAACUGAUUGGAAGCAGGUCAUGCAAGAACUCCAGAUUACUCCAUUAAUCUCCACCGGCCAGCUCCUGGCCUUUCAGGAUUCCAGCCUUUUGCCAGUGAUCUUAAAGAUCAUUAAGGUCAAUCAACUACAAUCUGCAUGUCAUCUUGAACCUAAAUACUCACCAAUCUCUUUUUUUUUUUUGUACUGGAAAUCAUACUCCAGACCUUGCCCUUGCCAGGCAGGCGCUGUGCUGCUGAGCUAUAUCCCCAGUCCAUCGGCCUCUUUCUCAACAAGUGCAAAGUCAAGAAAUGCCACCUUGCAAGGCAGUCAUUCCAAGGAGAAAUGCUUUUUAAUGUGCAUUCAAUUACAACAGUGGCCAGACUAUAAGGAAGCUUGGAGCAUGCAUAAUUAAUUGGAGUAAGUUCUAUGAUCAGAUUAGUAUUUAAUUUCCCCUCUCAGAAGUAAGGCUUAGUGAGACCCAACCUUUUUGGCUUUUGUCUCCCACAAGGGGCCAACAUUUUCAUUUUCUAGCUGUUAAUGAAAAAUUUCAUCCCUAUCUUAGUAAGAAGUUAGUUAUUAAUCAAAAUAAAUAUUGAUAAAUUUCAUUUCAUUAAAUUUAUCUUGUACUUUAGGCAGAAAUUCAUAAUUCAGAGUAAGAGAGGGAAAGGCCAGAAUAACAAAAAUGAGUUUGAAUGAGAAUUCUUUAGAAAAAAGGCUUUUUUCUCAAAGGGCAUAUAAGUACCUAGGUUCUAUUAGAAUAGUCACUACUCAACUGCAUUAGAGUUCUUUCAAAGACUUUUUAAAAAAGAGUGUUUUAAACUGUCCACAGUACUGUAUGCCUGUGGUCCUAAGCACUCUGGGAGGCUGAUGCACAAGGAUAGCAAGUUUGAGCCUAGCCCGGGCAACUUAGUGAGACCCUGUCUCAAAAUAAAAACAGGAAAAGAGCUCGGGGAUGUGGCUCAGUACUAAAGCCCCUGUUUCAUUUCAGAGCUCCCUGCCCACAAAAGGUUAUUUUAAAUUUGGCUUACUAAAUUAUUGAAAAGGAUAAUUUAUAGUUGAGAUUUAAAAACUUGCUUGCUAUCAAAAAAAAGAAAACAAAACAAAAAAAAGCAAAAUUCAAGAAAUAAGUGAUCUCUGACUCUUAUUUACCCCAAUAAUUAAAAUAAGGGAAAAAAGAUUCAGUUGCUAAGUAACUGGAAAUGAAUGAUGGAACCUUCAGACUCUUGAGUCUUAGCAUCCCCUGCAGGAUGUUGCCGAUUUAACUCAUUUCUGACACUCAGCGAUUCCACAGGAGGAAAGGCCCCUGGUAGCCUAAUGAGCUGCACGGAGGACACCUUCCUGCACGAGGCUCAGACUUCCCUCACGCUCUCCAGGUAGGAACAGCUGCCCCAAAAGUCACCCUCCAGGAGGCAGAGCCUCCCAGCUUUCCUUUCCCUGUCCACCACUGAGCCGGAGAAAGCAGACAUAGCUUUGGAGGUCUCGGAGCACCUUGCUGGAUGGCGUCUCACCAAAAUGGUGAAGAGGCCGUGACAGGACGUGGGUCCGAGUGUGCAGCCAGGGCAGGCGUGGUGGCCCCAGGGCUGUUCUCUCCAGGUGUGCACAGACAGAUGUUCACUGGCCUCUUAUGCUACCUGAUAAUGCCCUUUUUAUGUUGCGAUAAUGUCUUAUUAAGUUGUUUAGCCUGGCCCUAAUGUUUGAUCCUUCUGCCUCAGCCUCCAAGGAGCCUGGAUUACAGGCAUGCACUACCACAGUGGGCUUAGAACUGCCCUAUUUUUAAUAUUUUCCAUUCUAUACCAGGGACCAGUCUGAGAUAGUACAACAAUCCAACAGUUGCUGCAAGGAGUUUGCCAUCGGUUUCUGAGGAUCUCAAGGAAGAGCAGCAUUUGGGAAGGCUGAUUUCAAGACUGUGGGACACGCAAGCAGGAGGAGUUGACCUGACUGCUCCCCAAAGAGAUGCACACCCGGGUUGAGCGAGAAUGAUCACAAGUCCACUGCGUUCCGCUCUGGGGCGGGAGGAGUUUCCCAAGGUGACUCACACUCAAGGGCUUGGCAGACAGCUUGAUGCCCCCUCUGCCCCUGUGACAAACAACCUUGCAGCAUGUUACCUUGUAACUGGCGGCUUCUGUCAUUUCUGAGAAAUUGGUCUCAGAAAGCCCAGCUUCCCCUAAAACUUUAAUCUUCUCUUGAAUGAGAGGCCUGCGGGGGAGAGAUGAGCUGCAUGAAUACAAUCUGCACAGAAACAAGAGACUGAUUAAAAGGGGGCCACUUUCCUCACUCUG
Molecule: long non-coding RNA, 6469 nt
Organism: Cavia porcellus (domestic guinea pig)
Lineage: Eukaryota; Metazoa; Chordata; Mammalia; Rodentia; Caviidae
Exons: 2
Source: RefSeq, a predicted model, not a curated record